ACUCUUCAACCCACCAAUUCCUUGUUGAAUUGCGUGGUGUUUGGAUUCUGAGUGUUGCUGGCCUAGCGCUUUGGCGCAGAGGCGAAGCUCAUUCGUAAUACAUUAGCGACUCAAUUUCGAGUUUUCGGUUUGACUCGGCGUAAUAGACUAUUCGCUGAGGACACUUCGGUGGCCGAAUCUCGAGGUAGAAGCUUCCAAUUUGUAGUCUUUACUCUAAG
This 218-nucleotide unclassified non-coding RNA is filed under the name uncultured Sporidiobolales. Its description in RNAcentral is "sequence contains ITS2". Lineage: Eukaryota; Fungi; Basidiomycota; Microbotryomycetes; Sporidiobolales. The record is from RNAcentral.